UUUUUUAAGAUUUAUUUUAUUAAUAUAUGUAAGUACACUGUAGCUGUCUUCAGACACUCCAGAAGAGGGAGUCAGAUCUCGUUACAGAUGGUUGUGAGCCACCAUGUGGUUGCUGGGAUUUGAACUUUGGACCUUCGGAAGAGCAGUAGGGUGCUCUUACCCACUGAGCCAUCUCACCAGCCCCCACACCUAGCCUUUUAAUACUAUUUUUGAGAAUAGGGUCUCAUGUGGUCAAAUCUGGUCUUGAACUCUUGACCCUCUGCGUCCGUCUACCUCCUAAAGUGAUGACGAGAUUAUAGGUGUGAACCACCAUAAACCAUAUCCAGUGUUGUUUUGAGGUAGGGUCUUUAAAUUUAUUUUAUUAUUUUAUAUGUAUAUGUAGGUGGGUGCCUGUAGAGCUCAGAAGAGGGUAUUGGAUCCUCUGGAACUGGAGUUACAGGCAGUUGGUUGUUUAUGAGGGUAUUAGGAACUGAACUUAAGUCCUCUUCGAGAGGCAGGAGGAUUUUGAGUUCGAAGCUAGCUUGAGCACAUGGUAAGACCCUGUGCCAAAAAAGAAAGCAGCAAGCAAAAAUUAAAGAAAUCGCUAAAUCUAUGCUGAGCUGAAGAGCGUACUGUACCUGGAUAGUACUGAAAAGCUGCUCUUAGAGAGGACAUGCUACUAAGCCGCCUCCAAGUUUCCUCCUCUUGCAUUUCUGUUUGCUGGUUUGGUAGAACCUCUGGGAUCAAACAUGUUCUGGCCUCACCUCCACAAAGCACACAACUGUACAAUGUUGAGAAGAGGAAAGGGAAGAUCUAGAGGGCCAAGAAAUGAGUCAAAAUCUACCUUGGUCUGGGCAUUUCUAGGUGACAAUAGAUUCCUUCCUUGAGGUACUUUACAGUGGAUCCUGCUUGAAUUAAAGCACCAGCCUUGGGAGAUGGAGAGAUGGCUCAGGGGAUAAGAAGAGCAUUUGCUUUCUUGCAGAGGACCUGGGCUGGCUUUAACUGCAGCAUCCAUAUGGAGUGGUUCAUAACCACCUGCAGCACCGUCUUCUGACCUUGGGCCUCAGGCAAGCAUGUGAUGCACACACAUGCAGGCAAACAGUCAUAAAAAUAAAUACUGAGAAAAGCAGUGCAGCCUUAGUUCAUAGUUGGAUUUACCAAAUCUUCUUCCAGUCCUUUGUCUCUCAGUUCCCAUCCUGUUUUUGGUCUCAGUUCCCUCUGCUGCUCUUUUAGCUGGCUCUCCCGUUCUCAGUUGUUAGUGGAGAGCAAUCUGCAGGUUGCCAUUCUCCAUGAAUAACCUGAAAUCUUAAUACCUUACACUUUCCUUCAGCCUUUACUUUUUAUUUCCCCCACCCUCAAAGCUGAAUUACUGUAGCAGUUCAGAUCCUUAAAAACUUUGUACAGAGGUAUUUUUUUUUCUUCCUGUUUUCAAGUUUUAAUUUCUGAGUGUGUUUCCAGUGUUUUACAGAUUAGACCUCAAUUCCAUACAUUGUCUCACUUUAAUAUUUUUUCCUAAAACUGACAAAAUCCUGAUUUCCACUUCUCAUUCAAAUAUCAGGCCAUCUAAAGUGCACCAGGAUGUAUAUGCAUCUAGAGGAGGAAGCUGCAGGACACAUUGGCGACUCAAAGGUUGACAUUGUUUCAGUGGCCUUUGCUUCCUGAAUCAUCUUAAUGGGGCUUUUGUUAAAUUCCUUUGGCACUAACAGUGGAGAUACUUGGCCUGAGUGCCCCUUCCCCCUGCUUUGGGCAAAGGUAUCAAUUACAUUAAGCCCCCAAAGCACUCCCAUCUCGUCCCUGGCAGUCCCCUGUGCCCCUCUCCCAGCUGCGUCCUUGCUGGUGCUUGGCCCCUCCAUUUCGUUAGGAGAAGCAAUCUCCUCAUUCCUGCACCGAGGAGAUAUAUUUCUCAGGCAGGGCUUGAGCUGUGCCAGCACUACCCCCGGUGAGGUCCCUGGCAGCCAUAAAAAUUUUUAUUGUGAUUAUGUUGGUGUCGGGGUGUCCAUCUGGGUUAUUGCACACCUAGUUUAAUUGAUUGAAGUUUAAUUUAUUGACACUUCAAAUUAAAUGAUCAGAAUAAACUGUGCUGUUACUCUGGCCGGCUUGUUUUAAUGGUUGAUUGCUGGAAGCAGACCUUGGCUUGAACUAAAACCCCAAAAGAGUAAUUGACGCUGCUUCUAACUCUCCCCAUGUCUUGCCCUCUAAGAAGACCUCGUUAUAGAUUUCCGACGUAUUUAUUUAUAUAUUUUUUUCCUCUCCUUCACAGUGGUGGGAAAGGGUUGGUCCCUGGCAAGGUAUAAAUUAUAUGAAAGGUCUUGGGGAACUAUCACAUGGUCUGAAAGGAAGGGAGGAGGAGGAGGCCUCUACAUAAAGAAAAGCAGACCCCAGAGAAGCCAGGUCCUCCCGGGGAGGCAGAUUGUGAGUGCAGCUGUCCAUCUAUGUGAGGGAACCUCAAGGCUGGGCUCCUUCUCAUCUGUGUUCUUGCUACUUGCUGUUUCUUACUCCACUGGCAUGGUGUGACUGGCAUUGGCAGUGUGUCGACAGAAAAACUAAAGGAAAGAGGAGCUGGAGGGGCCAGUAAAGAUGGAACAGGCAUCACCAGGGCUGGUGCAGCCAUUUACGCUGGACUAAUGAAGGAAUACAGCUGAUGAAGAUGCCCUGGGAGGCUAAGUCCGUGUGCACUGUGAGAUGCCAGUGUUGGCAAAGGCCCUCCAGGUUUCCCUCUUUUGGUGUUGGGCAGAGUGUUUCUCUCUCAGCAGACUGUUAGAUUUAUUCUGUCCUUACAUUGCCUAGCCUUUGUCACCUUCGUGUCUUCAGGAAAUCCUUUUGUCUAACUUAAUUCACGUGCUGCGGAGGAAAGCUUAUCUCGGUGCUGGAAAUGUAGCUCAAUUGGAAGAGUGCAUACCUGGCGCCCCAUAAAUUGGGUAAGGUGGUGUACACUGUAGCCUCCGUACUCAGUAGAUAGAAUCAGAAAGAUCAGAAAUUCAAGGUUAUCCUCAGCUACAUGGCAACUUGUGGCCAGUCUGGAAUAUCUGAGGACCCCCCCCAAUAAAUAAACAAAUAAAUAGAUAGAUAGAUAAAUAAAUAAAUAAAUAAAUAAAUAAAUAUCAGAGAGUAGAAAGUCUGCAUUUUACUGGCUUUUAUUUUUUUCUUCACCAUCAAUGUACAUAACUCCACUUUUACCAAAUUGCUCUGUUAACAAAUUGUCCCCAACUUUUUUCUGUGUGUGUGUUGAGGGUGUUAAUUAUAUAGCCGAGGCUAGCCUUAAUUUAUGAUCCUCUUGUCUUAUUUUCCUGCAUAGGAGUUAUAGGUAUGUGCCACCAAACCCAGCCUCCAUCUUCUCUGUUAUGUAGUUAGACUGAAGAACACAGAAACUGUUCACUUUGUCUUUAGAUCCUUUGUCUGGAGCAGAGGGCAGCAGGAUUAGUCAUGAUAUAAACUAGGGUGGAGGGCGAACCAUAAGUGGAUCUAAGCUGAUGGUGGUUGUCUGUAACUCCCAGCACUUGGGAAGCAGAGACAGGAUUCCUGGCCUGAGGCUAAAAGUUUGAGGCCAGGAUGAAAAUUGUAGUAAAAUCCUGUCUUGAAAAAAAAAAUGUGAAAAGAAAUUUAAGGCUUGCUGGAGAGAUGGCUCAGAGGUUAAGAGCACUUGGCAGUCUGUUAUUCCAGAGGUCCUGAGUUCAAUUCCCAGCAACCACAUGGUGGCUCAUAAUGAGAUCUGGCGCCCUCUUCUGGCUAUGCAGCCAGAAUGUUGUAUACAUAAUAAAUCU
RNAcentral lists this long non-coding RNA (3740 nucleotides) under Mus musculus (house mouse). RNAcentral describes it as "long non-coding RNA chr15:103276256-103279996". Lineage: Eukaryota; Metazoa; Chordata; Mammalia; Rodentia; Muridae. The record is from RNAcentral.